This 497-nucleotide ribosomal RNA is filed under the name uncultured bacterium. Its description in RNAcentral is "partial 16S ribosomal RNA". It matches the Rfam family "Bacterial small subunit ribosomal RNA", at positions 28 to 507 of the family's 1533-position model. The record is from RNAcentral.
GAUGAACGCUGGCGGCGUGCCUAAUACAUGCAAGUCGAGCGAACGGACAAGAAGCUUGCUUCUCUGAUGUUAGCGGCGGACGGGUGAGUAACACGUGGAUAACCUACCUAUAAGACUGGGAUAACUUCGGGAAACCGGAGCUAAUACCGGAUAAUAUUUUGAACCGCAUGGUUCAAAAGUGAAAGACGGUCUUGCUGUCACUUAUAGAUGGAUCCGCGCUGCAUUAGCUAGUUGGUAAGGUAACGGCUUACCAAGGCAACGAUGCAUAGCCGACCUGAGAGGGUGAUCGGCCACACUGGAACUGAGACACGGUCCAGACUCCUACGGGAGGCAGCAGUAGGGAAUCUUCCGCAAUGGGCGAAAGCCUGACGGAGCAACGCCGCGUGAGCGAUGAAGGUCUUCGGAUCGUAAAACUCUGUUAUUAGGGAAGAACAUAUGUGUAAGUAACUGUGCACAUCUUGACGGUACCUAAUCAGAAAGCCACGGCUAACUACGUG